CCUACGGGAGGCAGCAGUGGGGAAUAUUGCACAAUGGGGGAAACCCUGAUGCAGCGACGCCGCGUGAGUGAAGAAGUAUUUCUGUAUGUAAAGCUCUAUCAGCAGGGAAGAAAAUGACGGUACCUGAUUAAUAAGCCCCGUCUAACUACGUGCCAGCAGCCGCGGUACUACGGAGGGGGCAAGCUUUAUCCGGAUUUACUGGGUGUAAAGGGAGAGUAGACGGCAUCACAAGUCGGGAGUGAAAUGCCGGGGCUUAACCCCGGAACUGCUUUGGAAACUGUGCAGCUAGAGUGCAGGAGAGGCAAGUGGAAGUCCUGGGGUAGCGGUGAAAUGCGUAGAUAUUAGGAGGAACACCAGUGGCGAAGGCGGCUUACUGGACUGUAACUGACGUUGAGGCACGAAAGCGUGGGGAGCAAACAGGAUUAGAUACCCCGGUAGUC
Molecule: ribosomal RNA, 440 nt
Filed under: uncultured bacterium
Lineage: Bacteria
Description: partial 16S ribosomal RNA
Rfam family: Bacterial small subunit ribosomal RNA
Source: RNAcentral